Molecule: long non-coding RNA, 219 nt
Filed under: Sorghum bicolor (sorghum)
Lineage: Eukaryota; Viridiplantae; Streptophyta; Magnoliopsida; Poales; Poaceae
Description: long non-coding RNA (SBIC_LNC012003)
Source: RNAcentral
CUACCAAAAAUAAUUAUAUAGUUAUCCUUGGGCGAUCUUGAAUCUUAAUUAGUACACUCACGUUCCCUGUGGAAAAUCGAUACUCUGGAAUACUCCCGGGUGAAAGCUACAUCGGUAUCCGUGCGCUUGCGGAUUUUUUCUGUUUGCGUUUAAAAUACCCAACUGGAUUACAAGUAGCAAUGUUUGAAAUCCUUCAGCAUAAACAGGAGUGGCGAGGUG